GACGAACGCUGGCGGCGUGCCUAAUACAUGCAAGUCGAGCGAGCUUGCCUAGAUGAUUUUAGUGCUUGCACUAAAUGAAACUAGAUACAAGCGAGCGGCGGACGGGUGAGUAACACGUGGGUAACCUGCCCAAGAGACUGGGAUAACACCUGGAAACAGAUGCUAAUACCGGAUAACAACACUAGACGCAUGUCUAGAGUUUGAAAGAUGGUUCUGCUAUCACUCUUGGAUGGACCUGCGGUGCAUUAGCUAGUUGGUAAGGUAACGGCUUACCAAGGCAAUGAUGCAUAGCCGAGUUGAGAGACUGAUCGGCCACAUUGGAACUGAGACACGGCCCAAACCCCUACGGGAGGCAGCAGUAGGGAAUCUUCCACAAUGGACGAAAGUCUGAUGGAGCAACGCCGCGUGAGUGAAGAAGGGUUUCGGCUCGUAAAGCUCUGUUGGUAGUGAAGAAAGAUAGAGGUAGUAACUGGCCUUUAUUUGACGGUAAUUACUUAGAAAGUCACGGCUAACUACGUGCCAGCAGCCGCGGUAAUACGUAGGUGGCAAGCGUUGUCCGGAUUUAUUGGGCGUAAAGCGAGUGCAGGCGGUUCAAUAAGUCUGAUGUGAAAGCCUUCGGCUCAACCGGAGAAUUGCAUCAGAAACUGUUGAACUUGAGCGCAGAAGAGGAGAGUGGAACUCCAUGUGUAGCGGUGGAAUGUGUAAAUAUAUGGAAGAACACCAGUGGCGAAGGCGGCUCUCUGGUCUGCAACUGACGCUGAGGCUCGAAAGCAUGGGUAGCGAACAGGAUUAGAUACCCUGGUAGUCCAUGCCGUAAACGAUGAGUGCUAAGUGUUGGGGGGUUUCUGCCUCUCAGUGCUGCAGCUAACGCAUUAAGCACUCCGCCUGGGGAGUACGACCGCAAGGUUGAAACUCAAAGGAAUUGACGGGGGCCCGCACAAGCGGUGGAGCAUGUGGUUUAAUUCGAAGCAACGCGAAGAACCUUACCAGGUCUUGACAUCCAGUGCAAACCUAAGAGAUUAGGUGUUCCCUUCGGGGACGCUGAGACAGGUGGUGCAUGGCUGUCGUCAGCUCGUGUCGUGAGAUGUUGGGUUAAGUCCCGCAACGAGCGCAACCCUUGUCAUUAGUUGCCAUCAUUAAGUUGGGCACUCUAAUGAGACUGCCGGUGACAAACCGGAGGAAGGUGGGGAUGACGUCAAGUCAUCAUGCCCCUUAUGACCUGGGCUACACACGUGCUACAAUGGACGGUACAACGAGAAGCGAACCUGCGAAGGCAAGCGGAUCUCUUAAAGCUGUUUUCAGUUCGGACUGUAGGCUGCAACUCGCCUACACGAAGCUGGAAUCGCUAGUAAUCGCGGAUCAGCACGCCGCGGUGAAUACGUUCCCGGGCCU
Molecule: ribosomal RNA, 1392 nt
Filed under: uncultured bacterium
Lineage: Bacteria
Description: bacterial SSU rRNA
Rfam family: Bacterial small subunit ribosomal RNA
Source: RNAcentral